AAUAAAGUGGCUGAGUUUAGGCGGUAGAUUGUAAAUCUAAGGACAAGUUUUGACUUCUUUAUUA
Molecule: transfer RNA, 64 nt
Filed under: Tubuca polita
Lineage: Eukaryota; Metazoa; Arthropoda; Malacostraca; Decapoda; Ocypodidae
Description: tRNA-Tyr
Source: RNAcentral